UACGUAGGGUGCGAGCGUUGUCCGGAUUUAUUGGGCGUAAAGAGCUCGUAGGCGGUUUGUCGCGUCGGCCGUGAAAACCUGCAGCUUAACUGUGGGCUUGCGGUCGAUACGGGCAGACUUGAGUUCGGUAGGGGAGACUGGAAUUCCUGGUGUAGCGGUGAAAUGCGCAGAUAUCAGGAGGAACACCGGUGGCGAAGGCGGGUCUCUGGGCCGAUAUUGACGCUGAGGAGCGAAAGCGUGGGGAGCGAACAGG
RNAcentral lists this ribosomal RNA (253 nucleotides) under uncultured bacterium. RNAcentral's name for it is "partial 16S ribosomal RNA". It matches the Rfam family "Bacterial small subunit ribosomal RNA", at positions 524 to 776 of the family's 1533-position model. The record is from RNAcentral.